GAUGAAGAACGUAGCGAAAUGCGAUAAGUAGUGUGAAUUGCAGAAUUCAGUGAAUCAUCGAAUCUUUGAACGCACAUUGCGCCCCUUGGUAUUCCAUGGGGCAUGCCUGUUCGAGCGUCAUUUGUACCUUCAAGCUCUGCUUGGUGUUGGGUGUUUGUCUCGCCUCUGCGUGUAGACUCGCCUCAAAACAAUUGGCAGCCGGCGUAUUGAUUUCGGAGCGCAGUACAUCUCGCGCUUUGCACUCAUAACGACGACGUCCAAAAGUACAUUUUUACACUCUUGACCUCGGAUCAGGUAGGGAUACACGCUGAACUUAAGCAUGUCAAUAAGCGGAGGA
Molecule: unclassified non-coding RNA, 337 nt
Filed under: soil metagenome
Description: partial contains 5.8S ribosomal RNA, internal transcribed spacer 2, and large subunit ribosomal RNA
Rfam family: 5.8S ribosomal RNA (bases 1-120)
Source: RNAcentral